AUAACAAAAUAACUCAUCAUAAUUAGACAGAACUCUCUCAUUCAAUAUAUAAAAACCAGAUUAGAUAAAAGUGAAAAAAAAUAGUAUUAUAAAAUAAUAUCAAAAAUAUUAUAAUAAAUAAAAAAAACAGAGGAUAUGAGAGAUUAAAAAAAAUAAAAAAUAAAGAACAUAAAAGAUGUGAUAUUAGACAAGAAAGUUGUGAUGAAAAUAUAAUUGGAAGAAAAAAUAGUAACAUAAAAAUGAGAAGAUGACAAAGAAAGAAGGUAAGAGAUGAGAGAUUAGAAUAGAAGAAACAAAAAGUAUAUGGUAAAGAAGAUGAGAAGAAUGUUUCA
This 332-nucleotide long non-coding RNA is filed under the name Lathyrus oleraceus (garden pea). RNAcentral's name for it is "Pisum sativum (pea) long non-coding RNA (PSAT_LNC016950)". Lineage: Eukaryota; Viridiplantae; Streptophyta; Magnoliopsida; Fabales; Fabaceae. The record is from RNAcentral.